CCUACGGGAGGCAGCAGUGGGGAAUAUUGCACAAUGGGGGAAACCCUGAUGCAGCGACGCCGCGUGAGUGAAGAAGUAUUUCGGUAUGUAAAGCUCUAUCAGCAGGGACGAAAAUGACGGUACCUGAUUCAGAAGCCCCGGCUAACUACGUGCCAGCAGCCGCGGUAAUACGUAGGGGGCAAGCGUUAUCCGGAUUUACUGGGUGUAAAGGGAGCUUAGACGGCAGCACAAGUCUGGAGUGAAAUGCCGGGGCUUAACCCCGGAACUGCUGUGGAAACUGUGCAGCUAGAGUGCAGGAGAGGUAAGUGGAAUUCCUAGUGUAGCGGUGAAAUGCGUAGAUAUUAGGAGGAACACCAGUGGCGAAGGCGGCUUACUGGACUGUAACUGACGUUGAGGCUCGAAAGCGUGGGGAGCAAACAGGAUUAGAUACCCUUGUAGUC
This 440-nucleotide ribosomal RNA is filed under the name uncultured bacterium. RNAcentral's name for it is "partial 16S ribosomal RNA". It matches the Rfam family "Bacterial small subunit ribosomal RNA", at positions 338 to 795 of the family's 1533-position model. The record is from RNAcentral.